Molecule: transfer RNA, 69 nt
Filed under: Alouatta guariba (howler monkey)
Lineage: Eukaryota; Metazoa; Chordata; Mammalia; Primates; Atelidae
Also listed under: 1 other name
Description: tRNA-Val
Source: RNAcentral
CAAAGUGUAGCUUAAAUCAAAGCAUCCGGCUUACACCCAGAAGAUCUCACUCACCGAUGAUCACUUUGA